RNAcentral lists this ribosomal RNA (484 nucleotides) under uncultured bacterium. RNAcentral's name for it is "partial 16S ribosomal RNA". It matches the Rfam family "Bacterial small subunit ribosomal RNA", at positions 30 to 507 of the family's 1533-position model. The record is from RNAcentral.
AUUGAACGCUGGCGGCAGGCCUAACACAUGCAAGUCGAGCGGAUGAAGGGAGCUUGCUCCUGGAUUCAGCGGCGGACGGGUGAGUAAUGCCUAGGAAUCUGCCUGGUAGUGGGGGAUAACGUCCGGAAACGGGCGCUAAUACCGCAUACGUCCUGAGGGAGAUAGUGGGGGAUCUUCGGACCUCACGCUAUCAGAUGAGCCUAGGUCGGAUUAGCUAGUUGGUGGGGUAAGGGCCUACCAAGGCGACGAUCCGUAACUGGUCUGAGAGGAUGAUCAGUCACACUGGAACUGAGACACGGUCCAGACUCCUACGGGAGGCAGCAGUGGGGAAUAUUGGACAAUGGGCGAAAGCCUGAUCCAGCCAUGCCGCGUGUGUGAAGAAGGUCUUCGGAUUGUAAAGCACUUUAAGUUGGGAGGAAGGGCAGUAAGUUAAUACCUUGCUGUUUUGACGUUACCGACAGAAUAAGCACCGGCUAACUUCGUG